UGUUGGGGGUUGGGGCCUCUAUCUCUUUAUCUUUAUUCACUUAUCUGCAGAUAAUAAUCAUGGAAUAGCUCUAAUCUUAGUCGUUUUCCGUUUAUCGGUUUUGGAGGGAAACAUCCUGCAAGUUCGCUCACUCGCUUACCUAAGCGGAAAAAAGCGCAGCGCCGACCAACAAGAGAAGUUCAGAGAGGGAACGCGAGAACUCUACAAUAAAUCAGUUGUAACGGUGACUAGCGUCUUGGGAAUCUCCCGUUGUGGUCCACGAUGAGUCAUCAGGAAAGAUUAUUGAUCAACAAAAUGCGCGGAUGACAAACGUUAACGUUACCUGUGCCAAGAAUGAAAGGUUUUGAGGAUGACCUGCCAACGGGGGGAAAAGCUUCCCCAAUGCUCAGGAUUCACACCUGAAUCCGCUCUCAGUUCUGCACAGUCUUUGACCCAGGACAUACGUCCAAGCCAGCCUGCCUAUAGGCCUAACAAAGGGCGCUAAUUGGCGCACCCCGAACUCGGACAAAGCCGACGCCAUUCUCCAAGGUUCCUCUCCAUAAGGCACCAAGAUUUGCUGAGUCCGUGCUCCGUUUCCUUGUGCGCAAGCGCUUCCUUACCGCUAGAUACUAUCAAUUUGGAAAACAGCACUGGAGUAGUAUUUGAUUUUGGCCAUAGUUUUCAUUUUGGGAAUGAUAAGUGUUCCAGACAGUACCCGGCCUCUGCCCACGUGGCUAUAUGCAUUGCCUCUAUCUCAGGCCAUUUAAUGUUGCUUGUAAGUAAAUGUAAAUGAGAGUAAUCAGCUGAGUUUUC
Macrobrachium nipponense is the source of this 792-nucleotide long non-coding RNA. RefSeq lists it as uncharacterized. The transcript has 3 exons. Lineage: Eukaryota; Metazoa; Arthropoda; Malacostraca; Decapoda; Palaemonidae. The record is from RefSeq and is a predicted model, not a curated record.